RNAcentral lists this ribosomal RNA (253 nucleotides) under uncultured bacterium. RNAcentral's name for it is "partial 16S ribosomal RNA". It matches the Rfam family "Bacterial small subunit ribosomal RNA", at positions 524 to 776 of the family's 1533-position model. The record is from RNAcentral.
UACGGAGGGUGCAAGCGUUAUCCGGAUUCACUGGGUUUAAAGGGUGCGUAGGUGGGUUUGUAAGUCAGUGGUGAAAUCUCCAAGCUUAACUUGGAAACUGCCGUUGAUACUAUAAAUCUUGAAUGUUGUGGAGGUGAGCGGAAUAUGUCAUGUAGCGGUGAAAUGCUUAGAUAUGACAUAGAACACCAAUUGCGAAGGCAGCUCACUACACAAAGAUUGACACUGAGGCACGAAAGCGUGGGGAGCAAACAGG